This is a long non-coding RNA of Varroa destructor (honeybee mite), 1311 nucleotides long. RefSeq lists it as uncharacterized. Lineage: Eukaryota; Metazoa; Arthropoda; Arachnida; Mesostigmata; Varroidae. The record is from RefSeq and is a predicted model, not a curated record.
CUUCCAUUUCCACCCGAAUUGCUGUUCCAUUCGGAUAAACGAAUAUCCCGUCUCGUGAGAAGCGUAAUUUCCACAAGCGAGUGAGUGGGUCCCUCAAGAGACGAAAAAAAAAAAAAACACACGAUGACGACGACAGAGCGCGGAGAAUAGGAAGCAAAGAGCAACAAUUACGGCCGUUAUAGCUCUUGUUACUAUAAUGACGAACGCAAAAAGGACAAGGCUGAGCGGCAGCACAACAGACUUCCUCACCCUUUGCAGACUUUAUUUUUCCAUUCCCCAAUUGAGACUGAAGGCCGACUGUGGCUGAAGUCAAGGAAAAUAACGAAAAGCCAGUACUCGCCACCACCCCGGCGGUUAGGCUGAAAAAGCGAAUCCACAAAUUAAGGAGCGACGGUCAACGAGGCCCACUGAGGUAUCUGGGUUGGCCCUAAUCUCGCGACAAGCUGAACAGAACAUAGCCAGGUUUAGUGGAAAGGACGGAUGAAAAAUGGUAUAAUUCUAGGGGAAACGGAAGAACGACCAGAGCGGUGGCAACGGCUGAAGCUGACGUGGCAGCAACGAAAAAUUGCUACGCGAAAAAUAUACGCAGAAAUGUAUUUCAGAUUUUUCGAUGGUAGAAUUUGUGUAACUUUGGUAUGUGUGGUUUAUGCUUCGGAUGUUAACGGAUCAUGCUUCCUUCGGUACGUCGACCUGCUGGCUAUUCCAUACAGCACAUGGUCCGUUUUACACCGUCGAGCAAGCUCCUCAGAAUAGGCGCUGUCUCAAGGUUAAAUUCGUGUCCAAACAGGACAAGCCUAAGCACGGUUUGUAGAUUGAUGUGCUCGGUUGGCUUGACAAGAACUGCGAAAGGCUAUUGCGGAAAAAUAUCGUCGCCUAAUGAAGGUCACUUCGAUUAGUCUCACAAAAGAUCUUAUGGAUCCAUUCCCGUGUCAUGGAACUAAAAGCCAUAGUAGGAACAGAAAUGACCGUGACUGGCUGAUUUUAACUGGUAUGAAAAGAGUGCCUUGAGAACCAAAAGGCCAAGGGAACCGCUGUCAGAAACACAGUGAGAAGACCGCAGGUUCCAUCAGCUCAUAUUAGUGCCUCAGCUCUCGGAUAAGCCAAGGCAAGCCCGUGGCCGGCUGAGCCAUUUCUGCGCGAAGGAAGGGAUUCCAGCUAGCAGGACCGGUUUGAUUAGAAUUUAAUGGAAUGAUAGUGAUUAUGUGACGAUAAACUAUUCAAAUGGAAUAGGCGAAUGCUGGAUGUAUAAUUUAGAAGCACAGGGAAAAAGCUUAUCGGCUUAAUUAUCGCGAACGUAACUGUUUGAUAGCC